CAGCAGACACAUUCCAGCCAAUCAGCAGGACCCUCCCUCCCAGACCCUCCCACCUCCUGGACAGCAUCCAUUGUGAAGCUGCAUUCUUAGUGAGCUGUCCAGGAGGUGGGAGGGUCUGGGAGGGAGGGUCUGCUGCUGAUUGGCUGGAAUGUGUCUGCUG
Molecule: non-coding RNA, 160 nt
Organism: Pelobates cultripes (western spadefoot toad)
Lineage: Eukaryota; Metazoa; Chordata; Amphibia; Anura; Pelobatidae
Source: the annotation of a GenBank genome assembly